GCGUUAAUACGUAGGGCGCAAGCGUUAUCNGGAAUUAUUGGGCGUAAAGAGUUCGUAGGCGUUUGUCGNNUCUGCCGUGAAAGUCCGGGNUCAACUCCGNAUCUGCGGUGGGUACGGGCAGACUAGAGUGAUGUAGGGGAGACUGGAAUUCCUGGUGUAGCGGUGAAAUGCGCAGAUAUCAGGAGGAACACCGAUGGCGAAGGCAGGUCUCUGGGCAUUAACUGACGCUGAGGAGCGAAAGCAUGGGGAGCGAACAGGAUUAGAUNCCCCUGGUAGUCCAUGCCGUAAACGUUGGGCACUAGGUGUGGGGGACAUUCCACGUUUUCCGCGCCGUAGCUAACGCAUUAAGUGCCCCGC
Molecule: ribosomal RNA, 357 nt
Filed under: uncultured bacterium #0319-7D16
Lineage: Bacteria; Bacillati; Actinomycetota; Actinomycetes
Description: bacterial SSU rRNA
Rfam family: Bacterial small subunit ribosomal RNA
Source: RNAcentral